UCCAGUCCCAAUGAAACGAAGUACAUCAUCUCUCUGGACCAGGAUUCUGUGGUGAAGCUGGAGAAUUGGACAGAUGCAUCACGGGUGGAUGGCGUUGUUUUAGAAAAAGUGCAGGAGGAUGAGUUCCGCUAUCGAAUGUACCAGACUCAGGUCUCAGACGCAGGGCUGUACCGCUGCAUGGUGACAGCCUGGUCUCCUGUCAGGGGCAGCCUUUGGCGAGAAGCAGCAACCAGUCUCUCCAAUCCUAUUGAGAUAGACUUCCAAACCUCAGGUCCUAUAUUUAAUGCUUCUGUGCAUUCAGACACACCAUCAGUCAUUCGGGGAGAUCUGAUCAAAUUGUUCUGUAUCAUCACUGUCGAGGGAGCAGCACUGGAUCCAGGUACCUCACUACAUCCUCACCCCUUCACCAUGUUGCUUUCUGUAAAUGUUUCUCAUAUCAUCCGCACUGUGUUACACAGAUGUGGGUUAGGGAUAGGAUUAUCUAUUUAUCCCCUAACUGUCUGGCCCAGUACUUUGUACUCAUUAAGUGUUUAAUAAAUACAUGUUGAGUGGA
This 553-nucleotide small RNA is filed under the name Pan troglodytes (chimpanzee). RNAcentral's name for it is "processed transcript". The record is from RNAcentral. Lineage: Eukaryota; Metazoa; Chordata; Mammalia; Primates; Hominidae.